GUAUUCUGCACGGACUGCUGGGCAGCACUAGCACUCUGGAGAAGGUCUGCCGCUGUCUGCACUUUCCUGGUGAGAAUCCCCAAUGACAGUCCCACUUUUCAGUGGAGGAGAACAAAAUAUCUGUCUACUCUCUUGAAGAAGGACACGGCUUUGAUCAUAUUUGUUCAGGCUUGACUUGGCCGGAGGUUUUAGGUUCUUAGUCUCAAGUCAGCAGUCUCUCUCUCUCUCUCUCUCUCUCUCUCUCUCUCUCUCUCUGAAACACACACACACAGAGACGCACACACACACAAGCACACACAUACACAAGCGCAAAUCCUCUCUUUCUCUUUCUCUCAUUUCCCGUCAUAGGUUCUAUGCAGGCAGAUGAGUGUCACAGCUGUAACUGAGGCACAGAGCAGUACACACAGUGGAGCCGAUUUCCGCGAUGGCGAGAGGGGGCACCGGAGGUGACAACAAUAACAAGACUGUCCUUCGGACAAGUUUUAGAUUCUCAGGAUGAUGGAGUGAGUGAUGGAAUAGGUUGCCAACUGUAGUUACUCCACUCAGCACAGAAUGGCUGCGGGGAAAUAUAAUCAGACAUGCCCAAAGAAGUCUGCUUAGGGUGAAACAAAUACCUUUGAGGUUUAAAUCAGCAUUCCAUCCGUGCAGGCAGAUGGUGUUCCUAGGUUUGGAAAUAUAAAUCCCAUGGGAAGUCAGCUGAAGACCAUUUUAUGCAUCACUCAUCCUGUUAGAGCCCUGUGCUGUUCUGUCUCUCUAUAAGACUGGCUGAAACCACCACGGUUGUUUACAAUUUAUGCUCUAACUUUGGAUCACCUAGUUAAUACUCUAACUCCGAUUAUUACCAAAGACAAUGUUCUAUAAAAGAUAUUGUCUAUUAGAAGGAUGCUUCUGCAUUAUUAAUAAAAUCACAGGGAAAAUGCAACAUUUUGGAUGUCACAUCUGAUAAGUUGGCAGUUAAAGAACAGAAACAGCAAUAAGACUGCGUGGCUACAUUUUCCCAGUGCCACCAACUGGGAUUUAAGCUGACUAACAUUUUGAAAGCCCAGCCCAUUUCAUUCACAGCAGGAUGGCAGUGGGUGACUGAUCGUACCCGCCAGCUGGCUAAUGUCAUAAUUAACAAAGUUGCUACUACAUCUGCAAAGUUUAAUCGAAAAAUUUGCCAGUGAUAUGAUGGCCUUGUCACAGAGAUCACAAGGGACACGGAGUUGACUUUUGCUCAAGGUGGAACGACAGAGCUGUGUAGGCAAGAUGAGAAAUUGCGAACUUGUUCGGCCAAAGGAACGACUAUGCUCUGGAGAGUCCUGUAAUUUGCAGAAAAUGGACCAAGAUAACAUUUGAGUUCCAUGCUACCAAAAUCCUCUUGAGAAGGACAGCUAGCUACCCAGAAUAUUUAACAUUGUGACAUUGAAAUGUUGGAUGAACGAUUAAAAUGAAGAAUCUAGUCAUAGGUUGUAAGAAAUCGCUAAAUUAUUAUGUUUAAUCCAAAGAAGAGAAAGGAAAAGCUGUUUUCAUUCCCCCCAGCCUCUGAGGAGGCUAAUAAUGAAGGGGCCGGGAAGGAGGCCAGUGCUACCAGGGUUAUCUCACAACCUCAGAUGCUGGAUAAGUCGACGGAGGCAGAAUCGCUUUGGGAUGACAUUCAGAAAGCCUGGAGUGAUUACUUGCAAGAGAAAAGCCUACCUAUUCUUUCCAAGGUGCAGGAAUAUUCCCCUGACCUGCUCAUCCAGUGGUCCAGUAAUGAAUUACUGGAGACCUGCCUUAGACAAAGAAUGCACUCGGAGCCCCAACACACCUAAAGCCAUGCUUUGAAGGAUCUGCCAAGCUCACUUUUAAUCAUGAGAAAGAAAUUACCCACACGGAGUCAGCAGAAAAUGAGAAAGUAGAGCUCGUGCUGUGAAUAAUUCCAGCAAGUGCCAAGGGGCUAGUUGAGGAAUGGCUUCAUGAGAACAUGCUCUAGGGGAACUAUUAAUAGCCCACCAGUCGGGUAGGCAGCAUUCAAUCCUUCUAUGCCUUCUUUCGCCACCUGUUGAGGUCUUUCUUCUGAAACAAAGAAGAAAUAGACAAAUCAGACUUGCCCUCUUGGAAAUGUGGUCCAGAUUUCUCUACUCCCAAGCUCCAAAAAAGGUAUACAUUGGAUGGGCUAGAUCAACUCCUCCUGAGAGCCAUAAAUCCGCCAAGAGUUGUUUUCCAUGUAAGGGUGUGGUACAAUGGGGAACACCUGAUGUUGGAGGAAAGCAGGAGGACUUUAGAGUGGAGUUGCAUUCUAAUCUCUCUGCCGCUUCAACUAUGUGACCUGGGGCAAAUGAUAUAAACUCUAUGAGCCUCUUUCCUUAUCUUUAAAAUGAAGAGAAGUAAUACCUACCUUGUAGGGCUGUUGUGAGGAUUAAAUGAAGUAAUGCAUACAGUGCCUAACAAAGUAUUUAACAUCAUAUUUUUUAAAAGCUCAUGAAAUAUUAGUUUUUCUUCCUUCCCCUCUUUCUAUUUUCUCUCCUGUUCCCUUUUCUCUCCCUCCUCUGCCCUCUCCUUCCUUCAGAUGUUAGUCUAAAACAGCACCUUGGAUCUAAGCAGCACCUUUGAGAAAGAAAAGACUGCUUCAAGAAUGUCUAGUUGCACCUCCUUUCCGUAUGUGGCCUAAAUGCCUAGGUUGGAUCAAUAGUUUAAUUUUUUUAUUGAACUGUUUAAUAUUGACUAUGGACUUACAUUCACUUUUACUGUUUUCUGUAUAUUUACUUUUGCUUGAAGUGUUUUAAUAUUGACUAUUUACCUCUGCUCAUUUUUAUUGAUUUUCUGUAUUUUUUCAAUGAAAAUUAUAAUAAAAAUUAUUUUUGUUA
Molecule: long non-coding RNA, 2828 nt
Filed under: Homo sapiens (human)
Lineage: Eukaryota; Metazoa; Chordata; Mammalia; Primates; Hominidae
Source: RNAcentral